UACGGGGGGGGCAAGCGUUGUUCGGAAUUACUGGGCGUAAAGGGCUCGUAGGUGGCCAACUAAGUCAUACGUGAAAUCCCUCGGCUUAACCGGGGAACUGCGUCUGAUACUGGAUGGCUUGAGGUUGGGAGAGGGAUGCGGAAUUCCAGGUGUAGCGGUGAAAUGCAUAGAUAUUGUCAAGAACACCAAUUGCGAAGGCAGCUUACUAAAGUAUAACUGACGCUGAGGCACGAAAGUGCGGGGAUCAAA
Molecule: ribosomal RNA, 249 nt
Filed under: uncultured prokaryote
Description: partial 16S ribosomal RNA
Rfam family: Bacterial small subunit ribosomal RNA
Source: RNAcentral